This 108-nucleotide transfer RNA is filed under the name Candidatus Hermodarchaeota archaeon. RNAcentral's name for it is "tRNA-Glu". The record is from RNAcentral. Lineage: Archaea; Promethearchaeati; Candidatus Hermodarchaeota.
GCCGCGUUAGUGUAGCCAGGUCAAUCAUCUGAGGCUCUCGACCUUAGGACCGGGGUUCGAAUUCUUUAGGGAUUUGCCCUAUUGAAGAAACUCCCCGACGCGGCACCA